This 725-nucleotide ribosomal RNA is filed under the name Escherichia coli. RNAcentral's name for it is "partial 23S ribosomal RNA". It matches the Rfam family "Bacterial large subunit ribosomal RNA", at positions 614 to 1338 of the family's 2925-position model. The record is from RNAcentral. Lineage: Bacteria; Pseudomonadati; Pseudomonadota; Gammaproteobacteria; Enterobacterales; Enterobacteriaceae.
AAUGGGUCAGCGACUUAUAUUCUGUAGCAAGGUUAACCGAAUAGGGGAGCCGAAGGGAAACCGAGUCUUAACUGGGCGUUAAGUUGCAGGGUAUAGACCCGAAACCCGGUGAUCUAGCCAUGGGCAGGUUGAAGGUUGGGUAACACUAACUGGAGGACCGAACCGACUAAUGUUGAAAAAUUAGCGGAUGACUUGUGGCUGGGGGUGAAAGGCCAAUCAAACCGGGAGAUAGCUGGUUCUCCCCGAAAGCUAUUUAGGUAGCGCCUCGUGAAUUCAUCUCCGGGGGUAGAGCACUGUUUCGGCAAGGGGGUCAUCCCGACUUACCAACCCGAUGCAAACUGCGAAUACCGGAGAAUGUUAUCACGGGAGACACACGGCGGGUGCUAACGUCCGUCGUGAAGAGGGAAACAACCCAGACCGCCAGCUAAGGUCCCAAAGUCAUGGUUAAGUGGGAAACGAUGUGGGAAGGCCCAGACAGCCAGGAUGUUGGCUUAGAAGCAGCCAUCAUUUAAAGAAAGCGUAAUAGCUCACUGGUCGAGUCGGCCUGCGCGGAAGAUGUAACGGGGCUAAACCAUGCACCGAAGCUGCGGCAGCGACGCUUAUGCGUUGUUGGGUAGGGGAGCGUUCUGUAAGCCUGCGAAGGUGUACUGUGAGGUAUGCUGGAGGUAUCAGAAGUGCGAAUGCUGACAUAAGUAACGAUAAAGCGGGUGAAAAGCCCGCUCGCC